GAUGAAGAACGUAGCGAAAUGCGAUAAGUAAUGUGAAUUGCAGAAUUCAGUGAAUCAUCGAAUCUUUGAACGCACCUUGCGCCCUUUGGCUAUUCCAGAGGGCAUGCCUGUUUGAGUAUCAUGAACACAUCAACUCUCAUGGUUCUGCCAUGAUGAGCUUGGACUUUGGAGGUCUUGCUGGCCCCUGUGGUCAGCUCCUCUCAAAUGGAUCAGCUUGCCAGUGUUUGGUGGCAUCACAGGUGUGAUAACUAUCUACGCUUGUGGUUUUCCACCAGGUAACCUUCAGUGAUGGAGGUUCGCUGGAGCUCAUAAACGUCUCUCCUCAGCGAGGACAGCUUCUUGAAUGUUUGAUCUCAAAUCAGGUAGGGCUACCCGCUGAACUUAAGCAUAUCAAUAAGCGGAGGA
RNAcentral lists this unclassified non-coding RNA (405 nucleotides) under soil metagenome. Its description in RNAcentral is "partial contains 5.8S ribosomal RNA, internal transcribed spacer 2, and large subunit ribosomal RNA". The stretch from base 1 to 121 matches the Rfam family "5.8S ribosomal RNA", at positions 35 to 154 of the family's 154-position model. The record is from RNAcentral.